This 1339-nucleotide unclassified non-coding RNA is filed under the name Homalodisca vitripennis (glassy-winged sharpshooter). Its description in RNAcentral is "putative inorganic phosphate cotransporter, transcript variant X1". The record is from RNAcentral. Lineage: Eukaryota; Metazoa; Arthropoda; Insecta; Hemiptera; Cicadellidae.
UUUGUUUUAUUUCUGAUUAAAUAUGUGAAUAUGACGUUUUUGAAAAAAUGUUGUUCCUGCAUUCCGCAGCGCUACUUCCUCUGUGUGUUUAUAGUGCUGGGGAUGGUCGUCUGUUACCUGAUGAGAGGAUCUUUGAUACUGGCGCUCAACGAGAUGACCUUUCGGAUAAACAAGACUGUAGAGACCACCGAGAAGCACCAGUUCUGUCCCAUGGAGGAAGGGGGGGAAGGGAAAAAGCAAAAGGAGCAGACUAGAGCAGAGUUCCACUGGGACCAGAGGCUGCAGCACGACAUCAUCAAGUCGCUGUAUAUCGGGUACAUAUUAGCUCACUUACCAGCUGGUAUAAUAGCGGAUAUUAUCGGGGGCAAGCAAGUGUUCGGCGGUGGUAUCCUAGUGUCUGCCUUCGUCUCUCUGGGAACCCCUCCUUUGGCACGCCUCAGCCCGUACGCCGUCAUGGGAGGACGCAUCGUCCAAGGAUUUGGACAGGGGUGUAUGUUUCCUAGCACCAGCGCUCUGGUGGCCAAAUGGGCUCCUCCGAACGAGCGGUCCACAAUGACAGGAAUUGUACAAACUGGUGUGAUGUUUGGUAAUGCUAUCAGCUACGCGACAUCUGGGUUCAUUCUGGGAGCAUUUCCCACCUGGGAGCCUAUCUUCUACAUUGUAGGAAUUAUCGCUCUGAUGUGGUGUCUCGGUUGGUACCCCUUGUGUUAUAGCGCUCCCGCCAAUCACCCUUUUGUCACGGAAAAGGAGAAGACAAUGAUCGAGACGCAGAUCCGAGCCAACAUGAAGCAGAAACCUAGGAGUAUUCCGUGGAAAAGUAUCUUGACGUCUUUACCAUUUUUAUCAGCCGUGAUGAUAAACUUUGCCCACGCUUGGGCUCUCUUCACGAUGCUCAACGAAAUGCCAAAUUACAUGGGCAAAGUCCUCAACUUCUCUAUUCAGAAAAGUGGUGUGUUUGCAGCCCUGCCCCAUAUUGCCAUGAUUCCAACCUCUAUCGGCUGCGGAUACCUCUCUGAUUGGAUCCUCAGGAAGAACCUCAUGAGCAUCACACUCAACAGGAAGAUUUUCUCAUUCGCCGAGUGCAGCCUGUCGACUUGAGUCCGAACUUCGCUGGUGUACUGAUGGGUAUCAUGAAUGGAAUUGGAUCUUUUGCUGGCCUACUGUCGCCCGUUGUCACACCUUUCUUUCUGCACACUGGCGACGGGAGCAUAGAAGAGUGGCGCAACGUCUUCUACGUGGCCGCAGUCAUAAUGACCCUGUUCUCCAUCCCUUUCUUGUUCUUCGGUUCUGGCGAGGUGCAGCCUUGGAAUAACGCAGAAAUUGAUCCGGAACAAGAGGC